RNAcentral lists this long non-coding RNA (1012 nucleotides) under Helianthus annuus (common sunflower). RNAcentral describes it as "hypothetical non coding rna". Lineage: Eukaryota; Viridiplantae; Streptophyta; Magnoliopsida; Asterales; Asteraceae. The record is from RNAcentral.
CCUCAAACCACCAACAUCCAGCCACAAACCCCAUCACCACCGACAUCCUCUCUCGCCGGAAAAUCAAGCAUCUCCGGCCGGUAACGAUCCUCCUUCACUCAAUUACUCCGUCGACAUCCCCUAAAUCACCCAAAACCCUAAUCACCCAGGCGGCAGCUAGCGUGGUGGCAGAGCCACGACGGUGGUUGUGGCAGCAACACAGGCGGCGACUGGUGUGGUGGGUACCGUCGGGGAUAGCGAUGGUGGUGGUUGUGUGGUGGUUUACGGUGGUCGGAGUAGCGGUGGGUAGUUGAUGGUGACGAUGGUUAUGGUGGGGAGUGUUGGUCGUUUGCAGCGUAGGUGGUGAUGCUCGGUUUCUAAUUGGUGAUGGUGAUGCACCCUAAGUUUAAAGGUGUAGCUCGAUGAUGGAUGAUGUUAACCAGAUAAAUUGAUUACCAGCUUUCAUGUUUUUAGUUUUGAAUGGAUGAAAUAUCCGAGAACAUAUCCAAUGCUGAUGCAAUUAAUGUGAAAGGUUUAAUUACAUGAAAUAUUUGAAUGGUUAUCUCUCUGCAACUGUUAAGGGUAUGUUGCAAUCAAUUAGAAAUUAACAUUCGAAAAUUGAGGUGAUUUAGCAGCAGGAGGCAGAUCGUGUAUGCAUCACACAGUCUAAUAAGUAGUCAAAAAUCGGCCCACCGUCAAACUUGUCUCGUCUGCUCCAUAACAUGCUUUUUAUUAUGUUGGUCCUAAGAGAGAGAGAGGGGAAGAAGAAGAUGAUGGGGAUGGGUCCAUCUCUUUUUUCUAGCAGAAAUGCGGUGGUGAGUAUUUGGUGGAGGAGAUAAGAUGGUGGUGGUGGUUUGGGGAAGAAGAAGGAGUUUGGUAAUUUUAGAUGUAUUUAAUUGAGAUAUUUAACUGAUGUUAGAGCUGGGGACCAAGCGAGUUCAUUUUUGACAAGUUUUGGUACCACGCGUGUAAUUAGUAAACCAGUAGGACCAAGUCUACAAUUUUUGUAAACCAUAAAGACCAACCAAGCAUU